RNAcentral lists this unclassified non-coding RNA (520 nucleotides) under uncultured Glomus. RNAcentral describes it as "SSU rRNA". It matches the Rfam family "Eukaryotic small subunit ribosomal RNA", at positions 569 to 1090 of the family's 1831-position model. The record is from RNAcentral. Lineage: Eukaryota; Fungi; Glomeromycota; Glomeromycetes; Glomerales; Glomeraceae.
AGCAGCCGCGGUAAUUCCAGCUCCAAUAGCGUAUAUUAAAGUUGUUGCAGUUAAAAAGCUCGUAGUUGAAUUUCGGGAUCAAUUAGUCGGUCGUGCCUCUGGUACGUACUGGUUCUAUUGGUUCCUCCCUUCUGACGAAACAUGAUGUCAUUAAUUUGGUGUCGUGGAGAAUCAGGGCUGUUACCUUGAAAAAAUUAGAGUGUUUAUAGCAGGCUAACGCUUGAAUACAUUAGCAUGGAAUAAUGAAAUAGGACGUUCGACCCUAUUUUGUUGGUUUCUAGGAUCGACGUAAUGAUUAAUAGGGAUAGUUGGGGGCAUUAGUAUUCAAUUGUCAGAGGUGAAAUUCUUGGAUUUAUUGAAGACUAACUACUGCGAAAGCAUUUGCCAAGGAUGUUUUCAUUAAUCAAGAACGAAAGUUAGGGGAUCGAAGACGAUCAGAUACCGUCGUAGUCUUAACCAUAAACUAUGCCGACUAGGGAUCGGAUGAUGUUAAUUUUUUAAUGACUCAUUCGGCGCCUUA